UACAGAGGUCCCAAGCGUUGUUCGGAUUCACUGGGCGUAAAGGGUGCGUAGGUGGCCGGUUAAGUCUGACGUGAAAUCUCCGAGCCUAACUCGGAAACUGCGUCGGAAACUAUCCGGCUCGAGGGUUAGAGGGGGGACUGGAAUACUUGGUGUAGCAGUGAAAUGCGUAGAUAUCAAGUGGAACACCAGUGGCGAAGGCGAGUCCCUGGACAACUCCUGACACUGAGGCACGAAAGCUAGGGGAGCAAACAGG
Molecule: ribosomal RNA, 253 nt
Filed under: uncultured bacterium
Lineage: Bacteria
Description: partial 16S ribosomal RNA
Rfam family: Bacterial small subunit ribosomal RNA
Source: RNAcentral